This 460-nucleotide ribosomal RNA is filed under the name uncultured bacterium. RNAcentral's name for it is "partial 16S ribosomal RNA". It matches the Rfam family "Bacterial small subunit ribosomal RNA", at positions 338 to 795 of the family's 1533-position model. The record is from RNAcentral.
CCUACGGGUGGCAGCAGUGAGGAAUAUUGGUCAAUGGGCGCGAGCCUGAACCAGCCAAGUAGCGUGAAGGAUGACUGCCCUACGGGUUGUAAACUUCUUUUAUAAAGGAAUAAAGUGAGGCACGUGUGCCUUUUUGUAUGUACUUUAUGAAUAACGAUCGGCUAACUCCGUGCCAGCAGCCGCGGUAAUACGUAGGAUCCGAGCGUUAUCCGGAUUUAUUGGGUGUAAAGGGAGCGUAGAUGGGUUGUUAAGUCAGUUGUGAAAGUAUGCGGCUCAACCGUAGAAUUGCAAUUGAUACUGGCAGUCUUGAGUACAGGUGAGGUAGGCGGAAUUCGUGGUGUAGCGGUGAAAUGCUUAGAUAUCACGAGGAACACCGGUGGCGAAGGCAGCUUGCUAAACUGCCACUGACAGUGAUGCGCGAAAGUGUGGGGAUCAAACAGGAUUAGAUACCCGAGUAGUC